This 253-nucleotide ribosomal RNA is filed under the name uncultured bacterium. Its description in RNAcentral is "partial 16S ribosomal RNA". It matches the Rfam family "Bacterial small subunit ribosomal RNA", at positions 524 to 776 of the family's 1533-position model. The record is from RNAcentral.
AACGUAGGACGCGAGCGUUAUCCGGAGUUACUGGGCGUAAAGCGCGUGCAGGCGGUCUGACAAGUCUGAUGUGAAAUCUCCGGGCUUAACCGGGAGAGGCCAUUGGAAACUGACAGGCUGGAGGGCAGUAGAGGUAGGCGGAAUUCCGGGUGGAGUGGUGAAAUGCGUAGAGAUCCGGAGGAACACCAGAGGCGAAGGCGGCCUACUGGGCUGCACCUGACGCUGAGCCGCGAAAGCCAGGGGAGCGAACGGG